RNAcentral lists this ribosomal RNA (253 nucleotides) under uncultured bacterium. Its description in RNAcentral is "partial 16S ribosomal RNA". It matches the Rfam family "Bacterial small subunit ribosomal RNA", at positions 524 to 776 of the family's 1533-position model. The record is from RNAcentral.
UACAGAGGGUGCUAGCGUUGUUCGGAAUCAUUGGGCGUAAAGGGCGUGUAGGCGGUUUGUUAAGUCAUGUGUGAAAUCCCUCGGCUCAACCGGGGAAGGACGCAUGAAACUGGCAAGCUAGAGUACCAAAGAGGGGGGUGGAAUUCCCGGUGUAGCGGUGAAAUGCGUAGAGAUCGGGAGGAACACCAGUGGCGAAGGCGGCUACCUGGACCAGCACUGACACUGAGGCACGAAAGCGUGGGGAGCAAACAGG